CCAUAAAUCAUUUCUAGUUCUCCCUUUUAACUAAAUAUAAAUAAAUAAAUUUGAUCACCUUUUGUUAAUUUGCAGCUGCUGCUAUGUAUCAAGUGGAGGAGACAACUAAACCAGUAGUGCCUCCACCGCCAAUAACUCAAGAACAAGAACCACCGCUUGCCUCUGUUGCCACGGCUACACCCAAACGACGUCGUUAAACCAACACUUGAUGAUACUACUACUACUACACCUACAGCUCUCACACCCCAAAGAUUAUUCACUGUUUUUCUGGUUAAAUCUGGGUUGUUUUGCUGCUGAACUACUGCUGAAUCUUACCCUCUUUUACUCUCAUUUCCAGGUACAUUUUGAAUCUUGUCUAAUGUGAGGUUCAAUUUGAGAAUGAAAAUACAGAAUAGAGUUGAAAGUAUAGCAAUACUUCCCUUUAUGACUCAGUUGUGCUUCAUUAUAAUAUUUAUGUCUUUAGCAACAUGAUUCAAUAUGUAUUCUAGUUAAUGACUGUUUUGGUUAGUUGAAUUAUGUUAAUUAUAUUUGAUUUUGGGGACUGUUAAGAUGUUGUAUUAGAAUGUUUAGUCGAACUACAUCGUGGCUUAGAUUUGUUUAAAUUCUGGUUGAAA
This is a non-coding RNA of Nicotiana tabacum (common tobacco), 614 nucleotides long. The record is from RefSeq and is a predicted model, not a curated record. Lineage: Eukaryota; Viridiplantae; Streptophyta; Magnoliopsida; Solanales; Solanaceae.